AGAUCACCUCUCUUGGUGUUUUCUGGUGAGCUCAGCCAAAGGUCACAGACUCGCAGAAUUGCAGAGGUUGGGAGGGAGCUCUGGAAACCAUCUAGUCCAUGACUGUCCAAUCUUUUGGCUUGCCUGGGCUGCACUGAAUGAAGAGGAAUCAUCUUGGACUACAUAGGAUGCAGUAAAGCCUCCUGUUUAUUUCCUUGGUUUCUACAACCCAUACAAAGAGCACAAUAGCACUAUUUGAUAGAGCAUAUUCUCAGCAAGUGAGGAAUUCAGUGACACACCUUUACUUCAGAUGCACUUUCAUGUCAGACCCAUUUCUUGGACUGCCCCUCUGCUGUCAUCACAGCAAUACAACAUAAUGGAACAUUGGCAGGAAGGUUCAACCUUUACUUCCACAAUACCAGCAUCUGCCUCUGAUGUCGUGGGCCAACAUAAUAAAAUAGGAGAUAUUACACUCAGAGCAGCCCUUGUAAAUUAUAUAAUAUUGUGCAUGUAUAUAAGUAACAAAACUUAUUUUAUUCUUUAAUAUUUUUAUUAAAAUAUAAAACUGAGAACAACAAAGACCUAAAAAUACUGGAGAACAACUGGUGUUUCUGUACAACUAAUGUAUCAAACUCGCUCAGUACCAGAGUAUGCAAUUCUUACUGGGCUCUCAAGGUGCACAUCAGAGAUUUUUGAUGAAACUUUACUAUUCCUGUACUUCAUCCUUGAAAAUAGUUCUUCACAAGUUUGUACUGCCGGAAAGUGAUAACAUGAAUAAGGCAUGAUGGUGAAAUGAGGGAUAUUUUUCCAUGGCAAAAGAUGUCUAAUAAAAGUCAGGUAAAGAGACAUGAUCAAGUUUUUGAGUUGAAUGCCUGAUUGCAACUCUAUGCAUUCCAUUUGAGAAUGU
Long non-coding RNA from Lagopus muta (rock ptarmigan), 886 nucleotides. RefSeq lists it as uncharacterized. The record is from RefSeq and is a predicted model, not a curated record. Lineage: Eukaryota; Metazoa; Chordata; Aves; Galliformes; Phasianidae. The transcript is spliced from 3 exons.